CUUGUACAACUAUACAUCAUAAAUGAAUUGUCCUGAGUCAGUUCAACCUAUAAUAACAAUAAACACAACAUAGGAUUUACCGGGAUUACAACAGAUUAGUAUGUUAUGGACUUUGGACUUUCAUAGGUAAUUAAAACAUUUCAUUCUCUGAACCAAUAUCAAUUCUAUGACACAUAUGUGUGACUGAUAUUUUUAUGUAUACUUGUAAACCUAGCUUCCCUAAAGUCAUAAUUCCUAAGAAUUCUCAUUAAUAACUGAAUGAACAGGAACUGCAUUCUCUAUUAUAGCAUGCCCUUGCAUGAUUUCUUACUGGGACAGCAUGUCGAUUGAAGGAAUAGUCAAAUUCAAUGGCAUUUACAAAUUACAGUCACAUAAAAAAUUUCAUUAUUAUACAUGACACCACUACUACGAAAGUCUAAAAAUUCAUAACACACUGAUCAACAAUAAUUAACAUUAUUUGACAAUAAUAUCACAUUCUAAAGCAAAACUGAUUACCAAAAAAUCUAAAACAAUUAAUAUAUACAGCUAAAUAUUUACAGCUCCUCAAAAACAUUACAAAUCUUACAAUCAGAUCUGUAUUAACAAUUCUCAGAGUAAACAAUGAUAAACAAUUAUCCAAACCAAAACAAAGGUACCAGUAGAACAAAAAGGAAGUAAGGAUUUCUUUUUCUAUUUUUAACAAUACUUGUAUUGUUCGCCAAUGAUGUAUCAGUAGAUAUUAGUUUGACUAAGGACUUCCAACUGUUUCAAUUUUAAAUAUAGCAUACUUGUUAGAAAUAAUUGAGAGAAAAAAAAAACACAAUGGUAAUAUUAAAAUGAUUCCAAACAGAAAAUAAACUUUUUAAAUUUUUAAAUUAAAAAUGUAUUUUUUCGUUAUUUUGUUUUGGAAGUCCAUCACAUAAAAAGCACUCCACACUGAAAUCAAUUUCCAAAUACUAUACUGUUCUCUACAAUACUGUUUCGUUUUACAGUUAGAUAUACAACACAGUCUUCUAAGUCAACAUUUUGGCAAUAGUUUUUUUUUUAAUUGUCAAAAUCAAACAUUUCAGAGAGGUGUCUUUAUAUACAUUAUAUAAACUAAGUUUUAAUAUAUAUUUCGAAUGAUAAUGAUGAGAACACAGAAUUCCAUCUAAGGUCAACAUCUUUAAGUAAUAUCAAUUAACUGUAAAGCUGUGUUAAUACAAAGAUCACAUGUACUGUAACAACAAUAUAUUUUGCCAUGAUGUUCACCAACAAAUACAAUAAAAAUAAUUCCCUGUUCUAAACGAUACGCUCAAAAUAAAUAUAACAUGAGGUAAUAUCUAAACAAUAGUGAUAUGGUUAGCACAACAACAUAAAGCACCAACAUAAUAGGCCAUUCAGUUAUACCAUGCAAGUAUAACAAACAACCAGUUCUUCCUGAAGAAAAAUAAAAAACAAAAAAAAAGCCCUAUAAUAAAAAAGCAAAACUGGUUUUAAAGCUUAACUUUUAGAUUUGUGAACCUUUCGGAAUACACAUCACCAAUACCAUGAGCUGCCAAAUUUGAGCAGGCACAUCAUUGUUUUAGUUAUGUCUUGUUUUAUUUUGUCAUUCUCACCUUAAAGAGAAACCAAAGCUUGUUUUAGAUAUAAGAAAUCUAUCGCCCUUUCAUAAAUAAAACUUAGCGAAAAUGUGAACUACACACACCAGUUUUUUAACAUUUAGAUAGUACACUACUCAUAACAAAAAUAUCUACUUAAACUAUUCCCAAUAAAUGCAGAUUUUGUUUUGUACCACUGGCAAUUUUUUUUAAAUAAUAAUAAAAUGAGCAUUGCCAAUAGAUGAAAAUGACAUAAUAAUCUGAAUUUAAGGCACAUUGUGUUUUGAUUUCAAUAUUAGGUUUAAUUACUUUUCCUAGUUCUUUAUACUUCUUAAAUAAAUCAUCAUGUCUUCUCUUAAAUAAGUUUUAAUGGAGAGCAUCCUAUUCUAAUUUUAAUGUCUGUCUCACUCAACCAAUCACUAAUAAUAUACAAAAGAAUCAUUAAUGUUGUUGUCUAUAAUGCAUCUUAUUUAUGAGGUAAAAUU
Molecule: long non-coding RNA, 2044 nt
Filed under: Mytilus galloprovincialis (Mediterranean mussel)
Lineage: Eukaryota; Metazoa; Mollusca; Bivalvia; Mytilida; Mytilidae
Source: RNAcentral